This 1023-nucleotide ribosomal RNA is filed under the name Salmonella enterica subsp. enterica serovar 4,5,12:i:-. RNAcentral's name for it is "partial 23S ribosomal RNA". It matches the Rfam family "Bacterial large subunit ribosomal RNA", at positions 161 to 1224 of the family's 2925-position model. Lineage: Bacteria; Pseudomonadati; Pseudomonadota; Gammaproteobacteria; Enterobacterales; Enterobacteriaceae. The record is from RNAcentral.
AAUCCAUAGGUUAAUGAGGCGAACCGGGGGAACUGAAACAUCUAAGUACCCCGAGGAAAAGAAAUCAACCGAGAUUCCCCCAGUAGCGGCGAGCGAACGGGGAGGAGCCCAGAGCCUGAAUCAGCAUGUGUGUUAGUGGAAGCGUCUGGAAAGGCGCGCGAUACAGGGUGACAGCCCCGUACACAAAAGCGCAUGUGCUGUGAGCUCGAUGAGUAGGGCGGGACACGUGGUAUCCUGUCUGAAUAUGGGGGGACCAUCCUCCAAGGCUAAAUACUCCUGACUGACCGAUAGUGAACCAGUACCGUGAGGGAAAGGCGAAAAGAACCCCGGCGAGGGGAGUGAAAAAGAACCUGAAACCGUGUACGUACAAGCAGUGGGAGCACCCUUCGGGGUGUGACUGCGUACCUUUUGUAUAAUGGGUCAGCGACUUAUAUUCUGUAGCAAGGUUAACCGUAUAGGGGAGCCGGAGGGAAACCGAGUCUUAAUUGGGCGUUAAGUUGCAGGGUAUAGACCCGAAACCCGGUGAUCUAGCCAUGGGCAGGUUGAAGGUUGGGUAACACUAACUGGAGGACCGAACCGACUAAUGUUGAAAAAUUAGCGGAUGACCUGUGGCUGGGGGUGAAAGGCCAAUCAAACCGGGAGAUAGCUGGUUCUCCCCGAAAGCUAUUUAGGUAGCGCCUCGUGAAUUCAUCUCCGGGGGUAGAGCACUGUUUCGGCUAGGGGGCCAUCCCGGCUUACCAACCCGAUGCAAACUGCGAAUACCGGAGAAUGUUAUCACGGGAGACACACGGCGGGUGCUAACGUCCGUCGUGAAGAGGGAAACAACCCAGACCGCCAGCUAAGGUCCCAAAGUCAUGGUUAAGUGGGAAACGAUGUGGGAAGGCCCAGACAGCCAGGAUGUUGGCUUAGAAGCAGCCAUCAUUUAAAGAAAGCGUAAUAGCUCACUGGUCGAGUCGGCCUGCGCGGAAGAUGUAACGGGGCUAAACCAUGCACCGAAGCUGCGGCAGCGAACGUAUCACCCAA